CUUUACUGGAGAAUGGAAAGUAUCAGGCUAGUGAAAAUGAAGGUUAUGUGGGGCGCUUUGAGCAUGUUAAUGAAGUUGGCCAUUCUGCACGCUUUGAUGAAAAUUAUGAUAGCUCAACCCAUUUAUCGAAGAAUGGAAAGUAUCAAGCCGAGAAUACAGGCUAUGAUAGAGAUUCUGAGUGAGUGAAUGAGGUUUCUUCGGGUUCAAAAGCUAAUGUACUUAAUCAACAUAAAAGCACUGAAGAACAGCCAAUAGCAAGAAAGGUUGUCGCUUCUCGUGCUUCCUGUACAGAGAAAGUUAGCCAUAGAUUAUAUCAAAGUGUAAACAGGGAUAAGGAGAGUGUAAAUUCAUAUCAACCAUUUUGUUUCAAAAAUGAAGAGCGGGC
Capsicum annuum is the source of this 385-nucleotide long non-coding RNA. RefSeq lists it as uncharacterized. The transcript is spliced from 4 exons. NCBI's taxonomy places the organism in Eukaryota, Viridiplantae, Streptophyta, Magnoliopsida, Solanales, Solanaceae. The record is from RefSeq and is a predicted model, not a curated record.